Molecule: non-coding RNA, 73 nt
Organism: Candidatus Parvarchaeum acidophilus ARMAN-5
Lineage: Archaea; Nanobdellati; Candidatus Parvarchaeota
Source: Rfam
GCCCCGAUAGUCUAGUGGUCUAGGAUAGUGCCCUGUCACGGCAUUGACGCGGGUCCGAAUCCCGCUCGGGGCG